UCGGGGGGUCCUCUUCGUACACUGCGGACUACAAUAUUUGUGAUCUUUCUUCGCACCUGAGUGCUGCUGAAAGUCCAUUGGGGCUGCUCGUCUACUCGCGCAGAUGUGAACGCCACGGAGUUGUUCUGGAUUAACGUAAAUGAUCCUCGUUUGCUUGCGUAGCCCCUCGAAUGACCAUUGGGAUUACCGCAAGCAUGAUGAUUCAGGGAUUAUCGUCAUCUUGCGGAGUGCGCCUAAGCUGCAUUGAUGACGGUGGUCAGUGAAAGACUGUUCCGUCCGGGAAACCCGAAAUAGCGCCUGUUUUUCUGAGUGUAUAACUGUCACGUGAUCGACCAUUGGCGUACACUGUCACUGCCAUAGAAGUAAUCCCUGCUACGCGAAGUCAACCCGUGCAGUUCUGCAUCAGACCUAGGCAAUUCGCUUGCCCUGCAAGCCUGUUGCCCUCUUUUUUGUACGGGUGCUUCAACAGAAGAAGUCGUGAAAAGAUUGUGUUGAACUUCGCGUAGUGGAUCAGUUCAAUUUGCAGCAUUUUUUUGGUGACUAAAGCACGAUUGAAUAACACCAUGAGGCGGGUGAUCCUCGAGUCAGUUUUGCUGUGCCUCGUCGUCGGGCUUGAAGUGAAGGGGAAGAAGCACGUGACGGAGAUGGCCCCCACGGCGAGCAAUGCAUCUGUGUUCCUGCCCGGACCAGGGUGAGGACCAGAUGAACCCAGCACUUCCACCACUUGAAACGGGCUGUUGAAUAAGCAGGAGUUGACUCGGCGAAGGAGAGCUUUAUUUAGCGCAAGGGCUAAUUGAACGCAAGCCUGCGAUCACAGCAAGUCUUCUUCCUUUUCUAUACUCGAGCUCCAUGACCACUGCCCUUGUUACAUAUCAUACACCUAUCCUAAUUUGAAGCGACCAGGGGAUGCUGUGGAUAACUCGGACUGGAAGAGGCCAAGGGGGGCCCUCUAGGUAGG
This is a long non-coding RNA of Rhipicephalus microplus (southern cattle tick), 958 nucleotides long. NCBI's taxonomy places the organism in Eukaryota, Metazoa, Arthropoda, Arachnida, Ixodida, Ixodidae. The record is from RefSeq and is a predicted model, not a curated record.